RNAcentral lists this ribosomal RNA (302 nucleotides) under Babesia sp. Dunhuang. Its description in RNAcentral is "large subunit ribosomal RNA". It matches the Rfam family "Bacterial large subunit ribosomal RNA", at positions 1767 to 2127 of the family's 2925-position model. The record is from RNAcentral. Lineage: Eukaryota; Apicomplexa; Aconoidasida; Piroplasmida; Babesiidae.
AGUCCACUUUAUUUAAAUAAUCAUGAGGAGCGUCUGUUGAACAACUACAUAAGAUAAUGCUAAGAUUUAUAUCGAAGUACAUUCUCUGAUGCCUGUUCGGUGACAUUUAAUAAUUGUCAAACAACUGGGUUUCCAUUAAAGUAGAAAAUAAUUGUCUAAAUAACAAUUAUGCGAAUGGCAUAACGACUUCUCUAUUGUCUCCACUAAGUUCUUUUUGAAAUAGUCGUGGAUUUGAAUAGAAAUCUUGAUAUACUGUGACGGAGAGACCCCGUGCACCUUUACUUCUCUUAAAAGAGUUUUGC